GAUGUACUCCCUCCGUCCAGAAAUACUCGUCGGAGAAAUGGAUGUAUCUAGACGUAUUUUAGUUAUAGAUACAUCCAACUUUAUCCAUCCCUCCAACAAGUAUUUCAGGACGGAGGGAGUACACA
This is a non-coding RNA of Triticum aestivum (bread wheat), 125 nucleotides long. NCBI's taxonomy places the organism in Eukaryota, Viridiplantae, Streptophyta, Magnoliopsida, Poales, Poaceae. The record is from Rfam.